AAAGAACCUGAAACCGUGUACGUACAAGCAGUGGGAGCCCCACCACUAAGCCAGUGGUGAACUCCACAUACGCAUCCUUUGCUGAAGGCAAUGGUUAACGGAGCGAAAGCGACGUUCAACCGCAAAACAAGCAGAGGGGGCUUAGUGGUGGGGUGACUGCGUACCUUUUGUAUAAUGGGUCAGCGACUUAUAUUCUGUAGCAAGGUUAACCGUAUAGGGGAGCCGGAGGGAAACCGAGUCUUAAUUGGGCGUUAAGUUGCAGGGUAUAGACCCGAAACCCGGUGAUCUAGCCAUGGGCAGGUUGAAGGUUGGGUAACACUAACUGGAGGACCGAACCGAC
This 340-nucleotide ribosomal RNA is filed under the name Salmonella enterica subsp. enterica serovar Thompson. Its description in RNAcentral is "bacterial LSU rRNA". It matches the Rfam family "Bacterial large subunit ribosomal RNA", at positions 543 to 783 of the family's 2925-position model. The record is from RNAcentral. Lineage: Bacteria; Pseudomonadati; Pseudomonadota; Gammaproteobacteria; Enterobacterales; Enterobacteriaceae.